Molecule: long non-coding RNA, 1949 nt
Filed under: Sus scrofa (pig)
Lineage: Eukaryota; Metazoa; Chordata; Mammalia; Artiodactyla; Suidae
Description: lncRNA (ENSSSCG00050003409.1)
Source: RNAcentral
CUUUGGGGACCAGCUCUCGGGAAGAAAGGACUGCAGGAUGGAGGAGGGUUUUGACUUGCCCUGGUGUGUGUGUGUAAACUGGGAUCCAGAGUUUGACAGCAGAGGAGAGACUUCUGGUGUGAAGAGCAGAGCGAUCCUGGUCCCCUAGGGAGUACACUUGAUAAGCAAGAGACCAGGUACAGAUUCUUUCAGAUCUUACAGUUCUCAAAGAGCAAGCAAAUGUCCUCUUUCCAAGCCUCACAUUUAGACUGACUGCUGGCAGAUAGAAAACUUCUUGAAGGAGGCCUCGGCUUUGAAGGUUUGUUGUAAGACCGUAACACCUAACUCAGGGGUGGAAGUGGGUGCUCUGCCUUAGCCUUCCCAUGGUUACACCAAGAGGAUCUGGACGACCACUGCUCCUGAGAGGCCAAUGUUUCUACUUCGUGGCUUUAACCAGUGUGCUCUGGCUGCCAUCUGCACAGACCCGAGAGUCUUUUCUUCCACAGAGGUUUCACCUUCAACUGCCUACAGCAUUUGGUCUCUUCUGGAGGAAUUUAAGAGGGCCGUACCAGCAGCACAUCAAGGAUCACAGCCUAGGGGUCUAAAAGGAGCUACAGCUGCCGGCCUACUCCACAGCCACAGCAGCGCAGGAUCCAAGCCGAGUCUGCGACGUACACCACAUCUCACGGCAACUAAAGAUCCUUAAUCCACAUAGCGAGGCCAGGGAUCGAACCCUCGACCUCAUGGUUCCUAGUCAGAUUCGUUUCCACUUCACCACAAUGGGAACUCCAAGGAUCCUAAACUUCGUGAAGGCAGAAUGCUCGCUUAACUCAUUUCUAUAUUCGUCCCACAAAUUUUAUUGAGCUUUGUAAGUGCACAAAAAGGAGUUGUUAACAAAUAAAUGAUAAGCAGAGUGAAUUCACCUAGACCUAAGGAGAUGGGGCUUCCAUGAGGGCAGGGAUGAGGUGCUCUAUCUCCAUUAAUCUGAGGUGAGGAUGUGGGCAGGGAAUCCCCAUCAGCUGCAGAGAUGGCUGCAAAGUGGUGAGAAUGGGCUGACAGACCAAACGUUGCAAGUUCUGUAGAGGACUGUCACCAACCUUUGGAGAUUCCAGCUUUAGAUAAUUUUUUCUCAUGAUAUUCAUCAAAUAUUCAUUAUUGGGAGUAGAAAAUUUCCCAGUCUCUGGGGCCAUCUUUUUAUGUACUAAGAGCCCUGUUUCUGAAUGGAACUCUCUCACCUCUGGCCCCACCCUAUUAUUAAGGGUUGGCUAGAAUCCAUGUGUCCUUUGGACUAGGAAGCUGCAUAACCGAUGGUAAAUGCCUCCCCCUUUUGUCACCCCAGCAGUUCCAGGCUGAGUCAUUUUCUAAAUAAGCCACUUGUGGUUUUUGGUCUGACAUCACAUGUGGAAGACUGAGUAAUUUUUUAAGAACCAGAAUUAUAGUCGAUCAGAAUAAGAUACAUUGUGUACAUUACUCAUGGUUCUAGGACAAGGGGUCAACGCUGGUAACAAGUACCCUAAGCUUCUCCUACCCCUCCUUUCCCUGGGGCUGAGGGACAGGGAGAAGGCCAAGGAAGGAGGUGGGGAUGGAUAUGAAGAAUUUUUGUGUGCAUCUCUAAUUUUGUUAAUACAUUAUGUACAGUAAAAUUAUAUCUUGUUGCCACUUCCAGAUUAAAUAAAAGUAAUAUAGCAAAGUAGGUAAGGCCUGGGGGCUCUGCUGCUUGGGUUCAAAUCCCAGCUUCACCACAUACCAGUUGGGCAAGUUACUGAUUCUUGAUUCGCCUGCAUUUCCUCAUUUGUAAAAUAAUAGUAUCUAUGAUGUAGGGUUGUUGUCAGGAAUAAAUGAAUUGAUAUAUGUUGAGUGCUUAGAAUUGUCUGGAACUUAGUAAGCACUAUGGAAAUAUGACUAAAUAUUUCUGUGAGUCCACCACAACGUUUAUGCUCAUAUUAAAUGUUCAAUAAAUGGUUCUUGAU